This 1526-nucleotide long non-coding RNA is filed under the name Homo sapiens (human). RNAcentral describes it as "novel transcript". The record is from RNAcentral. Lineage: Eukaryota; Metazoa; Chordata; Mammalia; Primates; Hominidae.
UUCACGCCAUUCUCCUGCCUCAGCCUCCCAAGUAGCUGGGACUACAGGCGCCCGCCACCACGCCCGGCUAAUUUUUAUAUUUUUGUAAAGAGAGGGUUUCACCCUGUUAGCCAGGAUGUUCUCGAUCUCCUGACCUCGUGAUCCACCCGCCUCGGCCUCCCAAAGUGCUCGGAUUACAGGAUCUCACUCUGUCCCCCAGGCUGAAGUGCAGUGGUACUAUCAUAGCUCACUGUAACCUCGAACUCCUGGGCUAAAGCAAUCCUUCCACCUCAGCUUCCCAAAGAGCUAGGAUUUCAAGUGUGAGCCACUGCAACUGGCCUCAUAAUGGAAACUUUAUACCCUUCGAGCAACUCAGCAUUGCCCCCUCCCCCUGCCCCUAACAACCACCAUUCACUGUCUGUUUCUAUGAGUUUGGCUAUUUUAAAUACUUUAUAAAAGUGGAAUCAAGUAGUAUUUGUCCUUCUGUGAUUGGCUUGUUUCACUGAGCGUAAUGUCCUCCAGGUUCAUCCAUGUUGUUGCAUAUGGCAGAGUUUUCUUCUUCUUAAAGGCAGACAGUAUUCUACACAGGUUUGAGCUUCUUCUGAUUUCUUCUCUGUCCAGCCUAUGUGACACAGCAAGAGAAAGAGAAAGAGAGAGAAAGGGAGAGGGAGAGGAAAACAGAGAGGAGCCAAAGAAACAUAAAUGUUCUGUGAUUAUUUUUAAGUCAGGAAUGAAUGUUUUUAUUUAUUUUUAAAUAAAACAGAAAAACACCUCUAAAACUCUUGGAAGGUUCAUGAUCAUCUGCCGACCUGUGUUUGUUUCAUUCAUGAAGUAUUUAACUCAGUCCACAUCCAACAAAAAUAUUUAAAGGGCACUCCAGAAUGUGUAUAACUCUGCCACGAGAGGGCUAGUUUGACUUGGCCAGAUGGUCACUUGAAUUCCAUCAUUCAUUGAUUGAUAGGCUUAUUAUUUCAAUAUACAUUUGUGAGGCACCUGCUAUAAGCUAGACCCUAGCAAGCAUAUUGACUGCCUCAUAGUAUACAUACUGGUGGUUGGAUAUGGAAGUUGAAUUUUAUUCUCUAGGCAGUCACAGAUGUCAUUUUGUCAUUUCUGUCUUUCCCUCUACAUCCUGCUCUGCCAUUUCUCUGGUGCACCAUGCCACAGGAGGCUCACUUUAUAAACUAGAUGAUCUGGACUCCCUUUCCUUGUGGCUUCAUGGAUUUGGCCAGUUGGUGAUCAAAAGGCAGGAGGAAAGAGAUGCUGAGGUCUUUAUUCCCUCAACUCCCUGCUUGCUGAGCUGGAGAUUGGUAGUAGCUGCAUUUUUCUAUUGAAAUUCACACCCCUGCCAGGCUUCCCCUUUCUUAUGGCUACCUUUUGCUGCAUGAGAAAUAAUGUUAUUUCUAUAUAGACAGUUAUAAUUAUUUGAACUUCUUUAUAUCACAUAUAAGUCUACCCAGAUUGGAAAUAAGAGUUUCUAUCAGCAUGUGAUUUAAAUUAUAGGAUAAGUAUUAUUCAACUGUUGCUUUUUUGUUACAAGAAAUAUUAAC